CACCGCGGUUAUACGAGUCAGGCCCAAGUUGACAAACACGGCGUAAAGAGUGUUUAAGGUAACCAAAGAAGUAAAGCCGAACGCCCCUCAAAGCUGUCAUACGCAUCCGAGGGUGACGAAGCCCAAUCACGAAAGUGGCUUUAUAUUCCUGACCCCACGAAAGCCAUGAAA
This 171-nucleotide ribosomal RNA is filed under the name Bathyclupea cf. argentea MM-2016. RNAcentral describes it as "partial 12S rRNA". The record is from RNAcentral. Lineage: Eukaryota; Metazoa; Chordata; Actinopteri; Acropomatiformes; Bathyclupeidae.